RNAcentral lists this ribosomal RNA (356 nucleotides) under uncultured bacterium. RNAcentral's name for it is "bacterial SSU rRNA". It matches the Rfam family "Bacterial small subunit ribosomal RNA", at positions 8 to 353 of the family's 1533-position model. The record is from RNAcentral.
AGAGUUUGAUCAUGGCUCAGGAUGAACGCUAGCUACAGGCUUAACACAUGCAAGUCGAAGGGAACGACAUCGAAAGCUUGAACUUUGAUGGUCGUCGACCGGCGCACGGGUGAGUAACGCGUAUCCAACCUGCCCAUCACUUGGGGAUAACCUUGCGAAAGUAAGACUAAUACCCAAUGAUAUCUCUAGAAGACAUCUGAAAGAGAUUAAAGAUUUAUCGGUGAUGGAUGGGGAUGCGUCUGAUUAGCUUGUUGGCGGGGUAACGGCCCACCAAGGCAACGAUCAGUAGGGGUUCUGAGAGGAAGGUCCCCCACAUUGGAACUGAGACACGGUCCAAACUCCUACGGGAGGCAGCA